RNAcentral lists this unclassified non-coding RNA (8772 nucleotides) under Agrilus planipennis (emerald ash borer). RNAcentral describes it as "uncharacterized LOC108734660, transcript variant X1". The record is from RNAcentral. Lineage: Eukaryota; Metazoa; Arthropoda; Insecta; Coleoptera; Buprestidae.
AGGGCUCCUCGUAAGAUGAAUCGUGAGGAGUUGAGCCACAUUCGUGAUCGGCUCAUUUUCCUUACAGAGUGUUCGGCAACUCAGAAACCUCAGAACAUCAAGAGAAAAUCUUCUUCUUCAAUUAAAAGUCGGAGCAAAGAUGGAUCGAAAGAGGGACCCAAAUGGACUAUGCAAGAUUUUGUUCGGAGAGACCCGAGUUAUACUACUGACAUUGAGCAUUUGGUGUUUCCUGGAAGAAGGAGAAGUUCACAGACCAGCACGACCAGCUCUUCCAAAACGAGGUCUAGGUUAGCCGAGAUGUUUGCUUUAAGUCGACAUCUUCAGCAGAGGUCUGUCGAGAGAGAGUUUAAGACCCGGAAUCCCCUUGUCAACCGAAGUAUCGAUAGUGCCAUUGAAAGCGGUCGAUCUCAUCCUCAAAAGCAAAAGUCUUCGUCGGUUGUUGCAGCACGUCUUGCAGAUCAAGGCCUUGCAAUGGUACCGCCUUCUUCUUCAGCUGCCCGAUCGUGGGCCGCGCCCGAGAAGCAAUCGUCGUCUCAACCGGUCCGCCAAGGCUCCGUUGUUUCCGCGGCCGGACCAGCGGGCGCCGGCUUCAUGGGCACUUCUAGACCCAGUGCAAAGUCGUCAUCGGUCGAAGUCGACAUGACGAGCGCGAGAGGCCCAAAUGUGUCAAUAGUUCAUUUGAGAAAUACGUCGGACCGUUGGGAUUCCCUGUCAAAAAUUAGUCCAAAUGCUUCCAAACCGCACAAAUCUUCUCGUAGUCCAAAGCAAAACGUCUCAUCGAUAACUAAACAUCAGUCUCUAGGUUCAACGGCGAGCGUUAAAUAUCCAUGGGAAAAUAACGAAAACGGUUUCAAUUACGAGGAGCCGAUAUCUUCAAAGGAAUUGUUCAUUACAGGCUCUUGCAGUAGAGAGCUGUCGCCAGUGCGAUGGUGUGAUAGGGAAGUUGAUGGGGUAUUUUUGGGAAGGUCUGGUUGGGUCCAGGUCCAGCAAAGGUCAUUGGAUGAUUGUCGAAAAAGCAAUUACAAGAAGUCAUCAAUUUCGGGGUCGCUCCAGCAACAUCAACAACAACAACAACAACGGAAAGGCAUUGUCAAGUUAGCAGAUUACCAUUGCAACAGCGAGCCUGGUAAACUUUGUCAGGAAUCGAACAAUCCCGAGAAACAAAGACCUGCAUAUUUGCCGAUCAAAGUGCAACGCACAAAAAAAUCAAUCGAAAGAAGCCCUUCACCACCUCCUCCACCUUCACCACCAUGUGUUCAAGAUUCUUCACCUCCGUCUAUCACGCCAAUUAUUUCACCGCCUCCUGCGUUUCAGGACAAAAAGGAGAAAUCUAGAGCAUUCUUCACUAAAGCGCCAUUCCUACCCAGAUACAACGCCAUCGAUAGAGACGUGCUGAGUCCACCUGAAUCGCCUCUCGUUACUAAACCACCAGCGCCUCAAUUCCGAAAAUUGAAGACGUCUGGUAAAGAUGUUCCAAAAUCGAGAAUGCCUCAAACUAAGUCUUUGGAAGACACUAGCGCCUGUAGAAGAACAAAUUUUGUUCAAAAGUACGGUUCGUCUUCAUCAUCGUCUUCUUCCAUGGGUUUCCGUAGUUUAGAUAGUUGUUUAAAUAGACCUUCAAUGCCUAAACUAAAAGAACAAAAUUCUUUUGAUACCAACGAAGAUGCGGACGAAGAAGAUAAUAACAGUUCGUCGGCAAACUUUAAUUUGAACGCACUCUCGCCUUUUCCAAUGCAUUCUUCAAACGAAUCGGUUCAGAGUCGUUCAAAUAAAUCUUCGACCAGUAGAUCAUCUAGAUCGUCGCAUCACAGACCUCAAUUGAAAAGAUCUCCUGUCUCUUCCGAUACUGCCAAACAACCAUCUUCUAGAAGUUCUUCCUCUAGUAGUGUAGAGACCAGACGUAAAUCGCCUUCUAGUUCCUCGAAUCAGUCAAAACGCUCAACCAGCUCUCGUCAGAAUAACACUGGUUCAGUUGACGACACGAAGGUUCGGAGAUCCAGAAGUCUACAGCUUCCUGACAAAACGAGCAGCAACAAUAACCGAAGUCCUGACAAACAAACCCAUUCCCGAAUUUCUCCGGCAAAAGAUGAGCGCCCACAACUUUAUAGAAAACAUACAAAUUCAACUGAGAAACUGAGAAAACACGGCCACUCUUCCAGUAAAUCUUUGGAAGUUGGUGCCGCUUCGGAAAGGGAUCUCCUUUAUGAGGCUGAGAUAGUUACCGACUUCGUAGCGGCGUCCAGAAGCAAAGCUGCUGCACAAGCCCUUGUGUGGCAGAAGUAUGCGAAGAAUAAAGACGAUCGUUUUCGAGAAAAUUUACCAAAAAGAAAUACCAACAGUUUUGAGGUUUAUUACGUCGGAAGAAAUGGUCGUGAACGAAGAAAAAUUCUAGAACGAGGUGUUACUACUCCCAGUACCAGCAGAGAGGCCUACGCUCCGACGUACAAAAUGAGUGAAGAAAUAGUUCAAUGUCCACAAUCAUGUAAUUUUUGGCCUCACUGUGCCCAUCGAGAAAAUUGGAAAGUCAAACAGCAAAUGCGCGCUUCUCAAAGUUAUCCCCUGCAUCAGCACUCGCUCGGUAGAAGUCCGGACAAAAACAGUUCCACCUCGAGUUUGAUGGAGCAGAUAAGUCAGGAUAUCCCGGACACGCGAGUGACCCACGAUACCCUGAGAUCAUUCUACAGGAAUUACCCUAGAAGGAGCAGUAAAGUGAUUAACGACAGAAGUCCCGAAAUCGUUUAUAACGGUCGUCGUAGAAAUCUUUGCAGAAUUAGUCCUAAUAGUUUGGACGAGCGGGUCCGAGACUACUCGGAGGAGCACAUUUACGAGAAAAUAUCGCCGCGUAUUUCACCUUCGACCUCGAAAAGUCGGUCACCGUCGGGCGGGCGCGGUUCUAGUGGUUCGUCGUCGAAUAGUGACAUAUGGGCGACACCUAGUGACCGCACGUAUAGUAAAAGUCCUAAAACUGGUAAAGGCUCGAGCGGUUCUACGCCAUUGGAUAAUUUGUGCGUGAAAGACUAUCACGAUUUAUCGCGUCCUGGUAGUGCUCCAACUGAGGACAACUACUCCUGCUUUGAAGUUGAUCAGAGAUCGAUGUCGUUACCCAAAUCCUUUCUAUCUGCCAGCUACCAGCAAGGUGAAACCACUUUAACAGAUGGUCCACGAAAAGGAACUGAAAGUGUUAGGUCGUCUCCGGGAAUCCACAGACGUCAACUAACUCCGGAAGUUUCGCACACCGCUCCGGUGACGCCUCUCCACGAGAACAACCGCAAAUCGUCCUUAGGGGAAUCAGGAAGAACAAAGGCAACAUCUACUCCCCAUCUUCUGGAUCCCUCGAGUAAGGAUAUCAGGAAUUCAAAAGAGAACUGCGAGAGCUAUGAAUUCCUGAUUCCGCCUUCCAAUGUUAGCAAAAGGAAGGACUUCAUCUCCCAAAGAAGUUUACCAGGUGCCGAAAGUGUCUUGAAGAAGUUCCGCAAGACGUUUUCUCUCCGUUUCCAGAAAAAGGGAAGUAAAGAUAAUUGCAGUUCGGAACAUGGAUCGGAGGUCCUUGGCGAUCCUUCCGAAGAAGAAUCACCGCAACAUAUUCCUCUUCAUCCUUCAAGUUUCGAAGAAACAAAAGAUGAUAACUACGAACAUAAUAAACACAAAUUUGGUUCCUUGGUCUGGCGUUCCAGCAAAGACCGCAAAAAAACCAACAAGGCUGCAAGAAACGUCAAGUGCAACAGCGGAGACAGCGGCAUUCAAAUAGAGUUGGUGGGUGGCGGAUGUGGGGGUGCAGGUGGCGAUAGUUCAGAGUCCCAUGCCGGCGACACGGACCCCGGAGGAGCAGGUGAUGACAACGAAAGUCCCCCGACAGUUCGUCGAAGGGCGCCAGCAUCUGACUGUGGCAGUGGCGAACAUCUCAAAGUGGUCCAGUCCAGACCUCACUCGGAGCUUCUCAACCAGGUGCUCAUCGACAAAUUCAAGGCUGAACUUCAAUCAAGAGCUCACAGACAUCGGCAUGUACGAAGAACGCAUUCAGAUUUAGGAGGUCAAAGGUUAUUUCAGUGGGAUCCCAGGUCAUCGUAUCGUCGGCUAAUGUCGUCUCCAAAUCCCCUUAGAAAAAGGCCGUUGAGGAUGAGUCCCUCCAAGAAGCCUCCCGACGCUCCAGACGGUGUUCAGUUACGAAGUUACCAUCAUCGAAGUCAACUUAGACGAUCUCUUAGUCAACCCGUAGAUAUCGACAAAUUAUCGCCACUUAUGAGAACAAAGACUGCAGGAUUAAGGUUGGCUGGAGCUGGCGUCUUUAGUGAAGACGAACAAGAUUGCAGAUUGGGAACGUCUGAAGACGAGAUGUUAUCCGAUUCCGAAUCUUCUUUAAAUUCUCUCCACGAACGUAAAAAGUCUUUAGAAUUAGCGAUGGAUGAGAAUGUCGUCAUUUUGGCCGAAGCUGUGUUCGAUCACGUCGCCAUUGAAUCCGAGGAACUGGCAUUUAGAGCUGGAGAUGUUAUCGAAGUUCUUGAAACGGUUAAUAGGGAUUGGUGGUGGGGUAGUGCCAACGGAAAAGAAGGCUGGUUUCCUGCAGCAUUCGUCCGUCUUCGUGUCAGCCAGGAAGACACCGUCGAAGAUUGUCUUGCAGCAAUGGUUUCUGGCCGAUCUGUGCCGUCUAGUGUUAAGCGUAGGACUAGUGUGUCCCUUUUAUCCAACGAUCAGGUUAGGACUAGUGUUGUUCGUGAGUUAGUGCAUACGGAACGGGAUUUCGUAAAGGUCCUUCAGGACGUGGUGGAAGGCUAUAUCGCGGAAUGUCGCAAACGCAAAGACAUGUUCACCAAAGAUCAGAUAGACACCAUUUUCAGUAAUCUAGAAGAGAUUCUCAAGUUUCAAACGGGAUUCCUCAAGGACUUGGAAUCGUGUAUAGACUGGGAGAAUCCAUACAAGAGCUGCGUUGGAAAAUGUUUUAUAAAGCACAAAGCAGGUUUCGAAAUGUAUUCGGAUUACUGUAACAGUCAUCCCCUAGCGUCCGCCACGUUGCAGGAACUGUGCCAAUUUAACAGUUACAGUAAAUUUUUUGAAGCUUGUCGACUUAUGCGUGGACUGAUAGAAAUUCCUUUAGACGGAUACCUGCUCACUCCCGUUCAAAGGAUUUGCAAGUAUCCUUUGCAGCUUGCCGAGUUACUAAAAUACACUAGGGGAGACCAUCCGGAUUAUAGCGACAUAAGUGAAGCACUCGACACCAUGAGGAGUGUUGCAGUACUGAUAAAUGAAAGAAAGAGGAGGAUGGAAAGCUUGGAGAAAAUUGCAGCGUGGCAGCAGAGAGUCGAAGCAUGGGAGGGUGAAGAUUUGAUAGAAGGCAGUUCACAAUUAAUACACCAAGGAGAAGUUGUUAGAGUCACCACUGGAAUGUGGACCAGCAACAUCACCUUAUUCCUCUUUGAUCAUCAACUGGUGUAUUGCAAAAAGGACAUUUUGAAGAGAAACACCUUUGUCUACAAAGGGCGUAUAGAUUUAGACACCAGUGAAGUUAUCGACGUUCCGGAUGGCAAAGACGUACAGAUUGGCGUGACCGUUAGGCAUAGCAUCAGAAUUCACAGCUGCAUCCGCGACAAGUGGUUGAUGUUUUGUUGUCGUUCGGCGGCCGAAAAACAGCAGUGGUUGAAAGCUUUUGCCAAAGAGCGUAGAUUUGUGGCGCAAGACAAAUCUGAAGGGCUAGAACUCCAUUCGACAGCUAAACAACUCGCCAAGGCAGCUGCGCGAUCUCAACGAAGGCCUCCGAGGAAACCCAGAGGUAGCAAGAAUUCGGCCUACAUGGGCUCUGCACUUCAAAUUUCCGCACAAAAUUCGAAUAACGCUUAUUCCUUGAGCCGGAAAGUGGGGACGUGGUUCACUUUUGGAGUAAACCGGAAAAUACGUUACCAACAGAGGGACGUUUCCUGAGAUAAGACAACCUUGCUGUAGCCCGUAUGCAUGUAAGUUAACGUUUUGAAGUUCCUUAUUAAUAACAUAUCGGCUGCAGCAAUAAUAACUCUUCAGAGCGAAGUCAAAAAUUGACUUUGAGAUAAAGUAACUCAUUGUUGAUUUUCUAUCAAAAGUAGUGAUUAAAACUCUCACACACUUUCGAAUAAUGAUUUUUAGUCUGUUUGGAAUCAAAGCACCAAGGGGUGAUGAUUUUUAUCUUGUAACAUGUGAUUUUACAAAGUGAUAUUAUGAUGGUCUCGUUUUGAAUUUAAUUUUAAUUUUAUUAUACCAUUUUUGACAACGCUCUGAAAGUUACAACUGUGUUGUUCGUAAAUUUUUGUUAGUGAUAUUGGCUACUGCCGUAUGUGAUGUUACUUAGAAUUUAAGAAAAAAAUUAGUUGAAAGGUCUAAUUUUUCUCUCGUAGUUCCGUAUGCGCUCAUUUCCUUCUCUCAAUUGUCAUACGUAUUGUAUCAGAACGCACAAUGAUGUUAAAUAAAUAAAAAUCGCAUUUGAGAACAGCACAGGGUAUUUUGGGUCUAUUGAACAACUUAGGCAAAAUUUUAGGACCAACAAAUGCAAAAUACUUCACUCAUUUAUCUUGUCUGCUAAAAGCAAUACUUAAUAAUGGCUUUGAAUGUAAUUACUUGUAUAUUUCACAUUUUUCGAAAUUUACAGGUACCGUAAAUUAUCUAAAGCAAUAGUAGUUUUUGUUUAUAUAGGUACCAACUUUAUAUAAACUUUCAACUAAUUUCCUUGACCGUUGUAGAUGAUUUCUUUGUGGUUUUUAUUGAUUAUUCCAAAUUUUUUGGAGUAAUUAUAAAGACUUAGUGGUUAGCAGAAUUUGUGUUCCAUUUUUUUAUAUGUUUACACACAGAGCAAUCCAUUGGGCUGGAGGGCAUAGUUAUUUUCCUAUCUCUUUUGGCCCUCCACGACUUACAACAAUUAAUUUUAAUACCUGUUACCUAUUUUUAUUCACAAUAAUUUCAUCCAUUUUCUUUUUCGUUUUUGUUCAAAAUUACCAUUUAAAAAUCUUAAUCCCUGUCUUUAUCCCCAUAGUUUCUCAAAACUUUGCUCUUUUGAACGUCCCAUUACAUUUUCCUAUCAAUUUAGUUUUCCUCAACCACAUCCAGUAUUCUUCCUUCAUUAUUCAUUACCCCAAAAGCCCCCAGGUAACAGCUUUUCUAUUUUAUUACUGGUCCCACUCUUUUUGGGGAAUCAUUAAAGAUAACACUUUCCAAAACUUCUCGAGAGUAGUUCAUUUAACUUACGUCCUGUUUUCCGAUUUCCUCACUUCCUUGAAAGUCCCUUUUCAUUAACAGGAGAGCCCUCUCCAUGUAUCCGGAAACUCAAUAAAUCACUCUGGGUGUAAAAGUGCAACAAAGCGGGAUGCACCAUUGCUUUGUUUAUAUGUUUGCUCAUUUUUAUUUUUUAAAAAAUGCCAAGUACCUCCUCUUGACCGACGUUGCGAGUAGACAGGUCCGGGGGUUGAAUUAUGGGUUUGGAGUGGUUAGGUAAAGGAAACGGAAAUUGAGUAUAUGGUCUGAAGGUUGGAUAAAGGGUCGAUUGUUGGGGACCUGGGGAUUGGAAAGGAAGUGAUGGAUAGAGGAUGACAAGGUGAGAGUGGCAAGGGUUUGAUAGAUUGAGACUGGUAAAGGGUUGAUAAUGGGUUGGAUUUGGAAGAAUAAUGAGAAAUGAAGGGAUUCAAGCUGAAGGUGGAGAUGUAGGAUGACUUUUGGGAUGGGUCUUGGAGUAGCCAUUUCAAUUUUUGGGCCCGAAUUGAGAGAAGUAAUAAGGGGUUAAUAUAGAAGCUGUAAGGGUUCAUGUGAUUUGGAAUUGAAGGUUAGAAAGUAUUUUCGGGAACUCGAAAACGAUGGAACAAUUUAAAAACCAGAAAGUAGGUAAUUGUAGGAUUCAAAUGAAAUAGUUUUUGAAAAUAAUGUGAUGUAUUAGGUAGGCAUAGUGUUCAAAGGGAAUGAAUGAAAUUAUUCAAUGAUUGUUGAGGAACGAUUUUGGAUUUGAGGUGGUUUGAAAGAGAAUUUGUUUUCUAGUUUGUGCAGCACAAAUAACAUUAGUUAAAUUUGGAAGUUAAGACCUUUUUCUUUUGAUUUCAGCCGCAAUUUCCCUACGUCAUAGUUGAUUUACUAGUUCUACGCCGCGAUUGUUUAUAGUUAAAAUUACUAUUGUUAUUUAUCCUAUUAACUAUGUUUUCUAAGAAAAUGUUUUUGUUAUGGUUAAAUUAAUGAAAGAUAUUGUGGAAGUUUGUUUAAAAUGUACAAAUGUUAAUAAACGAUUAAAUGAAAAUUUGAAAGUUGGCAUUGUUAUUAUUUAAUCCAUUCUGCCUUUUAGAAUAAUCUAAAAGUUAAAAGUUUUCAUAAUCUUCAUAAUCCAUUAUGAUGGAAGAUGUUUUUGUGCUACACAAAACUAGUAAAAGAAGACAGGGAUGGUAAUAUCACCCCCGGACCUUGAAAUUGAAGAUGCACCCGCUCUAUGGUAGUAAAAUAUUUCCCCUGUUCGGUCUUGUUUUUAUUGAACUAGCGCCAGCAAUUGAAAUGUUGAUAGGAAGCAAUUUAUGGGAUUAUUCCUGUAAAAUAAAAUCAAUUAAUGCCAAUGAUGUAGCUCAUAAGUAGUUGUAAUUAUUUAAAAUGUUUCGUUUAAAUUAUAUUUUUGUAAGCUUUUCAUCACGUCUGUGUAUAUUUAAUGUAAAACACUUGUUAAAUGAUAAUAUUAAUCUGUUGUAGUUUUUAUUGCCAAACUGACUUGUUGAUAAUACUGAUCUUUUUUGAUUUCGCGACAACGUUGUAUCAUCGGUUUUGUGAGUCGCGACAAUAAAUUUUUAA